AGCAGCCGCGGUAAUUCCAGCUCCAAUAGCGUAUAUUAAAGUUGUUGCAGUUAAAAAGCUCGUAGUUGAAUUUCAGGCCUGGCUGGGCGGUCCGCCUUUUGGGUGAGUACUGCCUGUGGUCGGGUCCUACCUUCUGGCGAAGCGUCAUGGCCUUAACCGGCCGUGGCGGGGAACCAGGACUUUUUACUGUGAAAAAUUAGAGUGUUCAAAGCAGGCAUUCGCUUGAAUACAUUAGCAUGGAAUAAUGGAAUAGGACAGUGGUUCUAUUUGUUGGUUUCUAGGACCGUUGUAAUGAUUAAUAGGGAUAGUUGGGGGCAUUAGUAUUCAAUUGUCAGAGGUGAAAUUCUUGGAUUUAUUGAAGACUAACUACUGCGAAAGCA
This 380-nucleotide ribosomal RNA is filed under the name uncultured Glomeromycotina. RNAcentral describes it as "SSU rRNA". It matches the Rfam family "Eukaryotic small subunit ribosomal RNA", at positions 569 to 953 of the family's 1831-position model. Lineage: Eukaryota; Fungi; Glomeromycota. The record is from RNAcentral.